Molecule: long non-coding RNA, 798 nt
Filed under: Rattus norvegicus (Norway rat)
Lineage: Eukaryota; Metazoa; Chordata; Mammalia; Rodentia; Muridae
Description: long non-coding RNA NONRATT028442
Source: RNAcentral
CAGCUUCUAAAUGACUGAUGCCAUCAAAGAUCUAUUGCCAGAAUCCUGUACGAACGAAACUUUUCACUAGACAAGUGGUAUGGGUGAUUUCUCUGUGUGGCAGUUGUACCAACGGUUACAGUACCAUGGAGAGCUUAUGGGAUAGCUCAGUGGUCAUAUGCUACGCCUGACCUUGACCUGGGUUCACUCCCUGUAUCCUACUUAAUGCAAGAAGAAAACUAACUCUUGCAAAUUGUUCUCUCACCUUCACUGGUGGGUCAAGGUGCAGAAGAACACAUGGGGGUGUUCUUUGCCCCCCAACACACACUAUGUGCAUAAAUAAAAUCCAAUAAAAGCUUUUAAAAAGAGAGAAUGUUGUGGAAUUGCCCCAGGGAUUCUUCUCUGCCGGUAUGGAUGGGCAAGAACCAGGAGGCACUGUUGGAACCACAGACUUCUCCACAAGAAUAAGGAGGCAGCUUCUGAUGUUUUCACUACUGCCUUUAAUUACCAGGAAGUUUGCCUACGAGGAACUAUGAAUGAGGUGGAAAAUCCUAAAGUCUCCACUGCCCUCCUCACCAGUGGUACUGGCAGCAUCCAAGAACUGGCCAUGAAGUCACUUCUACUUCCCAAGCUUGUGAGGCUGUAGACAUGGAUACUGUGUUUACCUAGGAAAAAGAAACAGUAGUGACCAGAACGUGAGUGGGAUAAGCUGGCUCCUGCUGUCUGAAACUGAUCUAUGCAGCAAGUUUUCAGCUGCCUGUCUUAGUGUGACGAGAUACCAGAGACAAAUAAAGGGAAGUCUCACUGUGGGCCACAGUU